This 422-nucleotide ribosomal RNA is filed under the name Digenea sp. 1 DSG-2016. RNAcentral describes it as "eukaryotic LSU rRNA". The stretch from base 265 to 422 matches the Rfam family "Eukaryotic large subunit ribosomal RNA", at positions 1 to 155 of the family's 3401-position model. The record is from RNAcentral. Lineage: Eukaryota; Metazoa; Platyhelminthes; Trematoda.
CGCCUGUCCGAGGGUCGGCUUAUAAACUAUCACGACGCCCAAAAAGUCGUGGCUUGGGUCUUGCCAGCUGACGUGAUUUCCCUUAUCAGUUUCGACUGUUGGGUGUCAGAUCUAUGGCGUUUCCCUAAUAUAUCCGGUUACAACUCCAAAUUGACUGAAAGUCAUUUUCGAGGGUGACUGCGGAGUCGUGGCUCAAUUGGUCUAUUUGCGCGCUCCGUUUGUGCAUCAUUUGUUAACCGUUUACUGCGUCAUUGACGCAUUACCUGACCUCGGAUCAGACGUGAAUACCCGCUGAACUUAAGCAUAUCAAUAAGCGGAGGAAAAGAAACUAACAAGGAUUCCCUCAGUAACGGCGAGUGAACAGGGAAAAGCCCAGCACCGAAGCCUGUGGCCGUUUGGUUACUAGGCAAUGUGGUGUUUAG